RNAcentral lists this long non-coding RNA (892 nucleotides) under Piliocolobus tephrosceles (Ugandan red Colobus). RNAcentral describes it as "lncRNA (ENSPTEG00000032112.1)". Lineage: Eukaryota; Metazoa; Chordata; Mammalia; Primates; Cercopithecidae. The record is from RNAcentral.
GGCCAGAGGCUCCGCUGGGGUCCGCCCGCCCCCACCCCACUCCACUCACUGCCGCCCCCACCGCCCCGGCCCGGCUCAGACCCCCGCUCCCUGAGCACAGGCCUCUGAUGUCAUUUCCUGACCUGCCCUCCCCCCGCGCCCGACCCGCGGGUGCCCGAGAUCUGACUCACCGUCCCCCUCCGGGCUUAGCCGGCGGAGGUAGCGCGGGUGCAGCAGAGGUAGCCACGCAGCCCCUGUGCGCCUCCAGCCCGGCCCAGCGACCUCCCCUCGGGCCUGCCGUUACCCGGUCCCCUCCCGCCACCACCCGCUACCCGACCACCUCCGAGUCCGCCUGGGGUGGCCGAACGAGACCCCGGGCGACGGUGGGGCUCUUGGGCAUUCUGAGACUGCGCUUGGUGGAGCCCCCUACUGGCCCGACCGGAUUUCUCAGCCUGCGACUCAGCCCCAGGCUACGCGAAAGAGGCCGGACCCGGCUUUUACUGCCUCCUGAGGCCUUCCUCUUGUUCACACUGAGUGUCCAGUCCUUCCAAAUCUGACUACACUCUACUGGCAAGGAACACCUGGGCCAUGUUUUAGAGAUCAUCUGAAGACUAACCCCAAAAGUUUAUGAAGAGAAAGCGGAGGCCAAGCUGGAGAUGGACCCGGGUCACACCCAGGUAGAGGCAGGAUCUAAACUCAAACUGGUGUCAAAUCUGGUUGCCUUGCACCCCUGAUACCAGGUGAAGCAACACUGGGCAGGAUCCAGCAGAGUGAAGUCAGAGUGUGAAGACCCAGCCUGAUGCCCAAACUGAUGCCUCUUCAUUCUCCCCCGCUCCGUCUGUAAAUAAUCCAUCUACUUUAUUGCAUUAUAUGGAGAAAUAAAUGAAAUGUCAUAGCUGUAUGCUCUAUAUGA